ACGCGUUGGCCCAAUUGAUUGAUGGUGCUUGCACCUGAUUGAUUUUGGUCGCCAACGAGUGGCGGACGGGUGAGUAACACGUAGGUAACCUGCCCAGAAGCGGGGGACAACAUUUGGAAACAGAUGCUAAUACCGCAUAACAGCGUUGUUCGCAUGAACAACGCUUAAAAGAUGGCUUCUUGCUAUCACUUCUGGAUGGACCUGCGGUGCAUUAGCUUGUUGGUGGGGUAACGGCCUACCAAGGCGAUGAUGCAUAGCCGAGUUGAGAGACUGAUCGGCCACAAUGGGACUGAGACACGGCCCAUACUCCUACGGGAGGCAGCAGUAGGGAAUCUUCCACAAUGGGCGCAAGCCUGAUGGAGCAACACCGCGUGAGUGAAGAAGGGUUUCGGCUCGUAAAGCUCUGUUGUUAAAGAAGAACACGUAUGAGAGUAACUGUUCAUACGUUGACGGUAUUUAACCAGAAAGUCACGGCUAACUACGUGCCAGCAGCCGCGGUAAUACGUAGGUGGCAAGCGUUAUCCGGAUUUAUUGGGCGUAAAGAGAGUGCAGGCGGUUUUCUAAGUCUGAUGUGAAAGCCUUCGGCUUAACCGGAGAAGUGCAUCGGAAACUGGAUAACUUGAGUGCAGAAGAGGGUAGUGGAACUCCAUGUGUAGCGGUGGAAUGCGUAGAUAUAUGGAAGAACACCAGUGGCGAAGGCGGCUACCUGGUCUGCAACUGACGCUGAGACUCGAAAGCAUGGGUAGCGAACAGGAUUAGAUACCCUGGUAGUCCAUGCCGUAAACGAUGAGUGCUAGGUGUUGGAGGGUUUCCGCCCUUCAGUGCCGGAGCUAACGCAUUAAGCACUCCGCCUGGGGAGUACGACCGCAAGGUUGAAACUCAAAGGAAUUGACGGGGGCCCGCACAAGCGGUGGAGCAUGUGGUUUAAUUCGAAGCUACGCGAAGAACCUUACCAGGUCUUGACAUCUUGCGCCAACCCUAGAGAUAGGGCGUUUCCUUCGGGAACGCAAUGACAGGUGGUGCAUGGUCGUCGUCAGCUCGUGUCGUGAGAUGUUGGGUUAAGUCCCGCAACGAGCGCAACCCUUGUUACUAGUUGCCAGCAUUAAGUUGGGCACUCUAGUGAGACUGCCGGUGACAAACCGGAGGAAGGUGGGGACGACGUCAGAUCAUCAUGCCCCUUAUGACCUGGGCUACACACGUGCUACAAUGGACGGUACAACGAGUCGCGAACUCGCGAGGGCAAGCAAAUCUCUUAAAACCGUUCUCAGUUCGGACUGCAGGCUGCAACUCGCCUGCACGAAGUCGGAAUCGCUAGUAAUCGCGGAUCAGCAUGCCGCGGUGAAUACGUUCCCGGGCCUUGUACACACCGCCCGUCACACCAUGAGAGUUUGUAACACCCAAAGUCGGUGGGGUAACCU
Molecule: ribosomal RNA, 1418 nt
Filed under: Limosilactobacillus fermentum
Lineage: Bacteria; Bacillati; Bacillota; Bacilli; Lactobacillales; Lactobacillaceae
Description: bacterial SSU rRNA
Rfam family: Bacterial small subunit ribosomal RNA
Source: RNAcentral